UAAUUUUUCUGUUGGCAGGUAGAAUUGGAACAUGAAAUUUAAGGAUGCUACCUCUGCUGCUCAAGCAGUGACUGUAGUUUGCAAAACAUGUAAGGACCUAGCUGCCAUAGCUGUUGUAGAACUUUCAAGGCAAUAUUGUGUUGAUGAUGGUGGUUCAUGCCACUUAGGUUUCAAGGAUGAAAGGUUGGAAUGUGGGCAAUCAUUUCCUGGAGAUGGUAAUGGUUAUUUUUCUGUUGGCAGGUAGAAUUGGAACAUGAAAUUUAAGGAUGGUACCUAUGCUGGUCAAGCAGCAGCUAAUUUUGCAGAAUAUACAGGCCUAGCUGCCAGAGAUGUUGUAGAACUUUCAAGGAAAUACUAUGUUGAUGAUGGUGGUUCAUGCCACAUAGUUUUCAAGGAUGAUAGGUUGGAACAUGGGCAAUUAUUUCCUUGAGAUAGUUAUGGAAAUUUUUCUAUUGACAAGCAGUAUUGGAACAUGAAAUGUAAGGAUGCCACCUCU
Molecule: long non-coding RNA, 496 nt
Filed under: Nicotiana tabacum (common tobacco)
Lineage: Eukaryota; Viridiplantae; Streptophyta; Magnoliopsida; Solanales; Solanaceae
Description: long non-coding RNA (NTAB_LNC003766)
Source: RNAcentral